Molecule: ribosomal RNA, 441 nt
Filed under: uncultured bacterium
Lineage: Bacteria
Description: bacterial SSU rRNA
Rfam family: Bacterial small subunit ribosomal RNA
Source: RNAcentral
CCUACGGGAGGCAGCAGUGAGGAAUUUUCGUCAAUGGGGGCAACCCUGAACGAGCAACGCCGCGUGCAGGAUGAAGGUUUUCGGAUCGUAAACUGCUUUUCUGUGGGAAGAGAACGGACGGUACCACAGGAAGAAGCCCCGGCUAACUACGUGCCAGCAGCCGCGGUAAUACGUAGGGGGCGAGCGUUGUCCGGAUUUAUUGGGCGUAAAGCGCACGCAGGCGGUUGCGUAAGUUUGGAGUGACAGUACCCGGCUCAACCGGGUGAGGCCUUCGAAAACUGUGCAACUUGAGGACCAGAGAGGGACAUAGAAUUCCGGGUGGAGUGGUGAAAUGCGUAGAUAUCCGGAGGAAUACCAAAGGCGAAGGCAGUGUCCUGGCUGGUAACUGACGCUCAGGUGCGAAAGCUAGGGGAGCGAACAGGAUUAGAUACCCGGGUAGUC